Long non-coding RNA from Cercocebus atys (sooty mangabey), 6614 nucleotides. RefSeq lists it as uncharacterized. The transcript has 5 exons. The record is from RefSeq and is a predicted model, not a curated record. Lineage: Eukaryota; Metazoa; Chordata; Mammalia; Primates; Cercopithecidae.
CUGACCUCGUGGUCCGCCCGCCUUGGCCUCCCAAAGUGCUGGGAUUACAGGCGUGAGCCACCGAGCCUGGCUGCCAUUUUUCUUAAAGUAAGACACAACGAAACAAUUUGUGAUAAUUUUACAGGAGUCCACCGUCAUAUGUGGUUUCACUUUCUGCAGCUUCAGUUACUUGAGGUCAACCUCAGUCUGCAAAUAGGUGAGUCCAGUCCAAUAAGAUAUUCUGAGAGAGUGAGCAAGCAAGCAUGUUCACAUACUCUUUUUUUUUUUUUUACAGUAUAGUGUUAUAAUUGUUCUAUUAUUAGUUAUUGUUAAUCCCUUACUAUCCCCAAUUUCUGAAUUAAACUUUAUCAUAGGUAUGUAUGUGUAGAAAAAAAUAGAAUACAUAGGGUUCUGUACUAUCUGUGAUUUCAGGCAUCUGCGAGGGGUCUUGGAAUGUAUCCUCCUUGAAUAAGGUGGGAUGACUGUAAUUGAUUCUUAAAUGAAUAGAUGAAAUCAAUUAUUUAGCUGACACUGUCUUUUCAGCAUUUGAAGAGGGCUUAUCAAACCCAGGCACUAAGGCAUUUCCUCAGCAGGACUGAAAAGUACACAUCUGUGAAGGCGAGGGUAGUUGAAGGAUAUUUAGGAGUAGGAGGAGGCAGAUGGGAUCAUUCUCGGAACAAAAAUGUUCUCAUCUCCUAGAUGGGUUUAGACUUUGUCUACACCAAGGUCACGCUGGGGAGAUGGGAUGUGUAAUGUGAUAUUUAUUUGGCAAUGUAUGUGGCCAGCCACAUACAUUGUGUGCUCAAUUCAGCUUACAAGUGCCGGCUCCCGGCUCUGAGGGCCCAUGUGCUUUGACUUGGUGGAAGGCUGCUCUGCCAGGGAUUACGCAUCCCUACCUCUGACCUGGUCAUUAUUCCUAAUUAUCAUCCAUUUAAAAUAGUCAGCAGGGCAAUAGCAUGUGCACAUCAAGGAUCACAAAAGGAACUUGGAUUAGGAGGAAUAAAAAAUCUGUCCCACAUGUGGCACUAUUAAAAAGCUCUGGCUGAGACAUGCUGUUUAUAGUCAGCAGUUGUCUGGAAAAUAGAUGUUUACUUGUAAUGCGUGUAUUAAGAUCUUUGCCAUUAGGCAAUAUAUAUCCUGCAUUGUGUCUUCUCUUACAUAAAACUCGACAUUGGGACAAACCUUUAAUUAGCAAUCCUGUGGCAACAAAAAGUAUUCAACACCAAUACUGUUAUAUGUUGGCAUUUCUGCUUAUUACAAAAAAGAUAGACAGAGAGCCAAAACCUGGAACUUUUCUUUGGAAGGAUGACUUAUUUUUUUUUUUUUUCUUUAAUGAAAUGCUCCAUUUAAAACUGUAAGUGAAAUAUUUGCUAAAUAAAGAUUAAAUUACUAACAGAAAAAAAUGUUCUCAAUAUUUGGCAAGAACUUAGACACCCUGGGUUUCCCUGACCCAUGCAUGCAUCUUCUGAUGAAAAGGUGUAUUAUAAUAUGCCUAGGUGCACUCUUUGAAUGAGGCUCUCUCAUCUAUCUAAUGAAUUUCUUUUGUUGGUGAUGAGACUAGAUUUUCUGCCUCAGAACAGGAACAUGGACAAUGCUUCUGGGACAGGGAGCAGGCACCACAAGACUUGUGUCUUAUUCUUGCUGUUGACACAAUAUACGUUUUUCUGCCUCUAUUGUCUUAGCAAACAGACUUGUUCCCCCAGAAUACCAUCCUAUUAAGGGAUGAUCCUACUUCUGUGAAGUUCUGAAUAACGUUACAUUCUAGUGCUAAAAUAAUGAAUUCACUUCAGACAAAUUUGGUCUAAGAUUAAGCAAGUGGACUCCACAGUCUGGGUGGCCCAUCCUCGGCCUGGGCACAUCCUUAGGCAGUGGGCAAUGUUUUGCUAGUCUUGGUCCUUGUAUAUAUAAAGCGGGACAAUAAUGCUUACUUCAUAGGUUUGUGGUGAAGACUACAUGACAAAUAAAAAAAAAUAUGUAAAGCCCUUAGCACAGAUUUUCACAGAUAGUUAUCAAUCAAUGUUAUAUGUUAGGUGCAGAGAGAUUCCCUAGUGCUUUUAAAACUUGAAUGAUGGCGGCUGGCAGAAGCAGCCACUGAUUUUCGCCCCCUCUGGCCCUUAGUAGGGGCCCAAUAGAUAUUUGAUGAAUAGGUGAAGGAAUAAAGGACUACCAGAACAAGCCCCUAAAUGUUAACUCCCAGCUCUACCAGUCUAAGCAACCAACUCAUUUAGUCAGAUCACACACUCCUCUUCAUCUUCUGUAUCUCUCAGUAGAACCCACCAUUGCAAUUAGAAACAGGAAAAAUGGUCACAUAUUCAUCUAGAACUCUCUUAAGCCAAAUCAACAAAUACUUAUUCAGGGCAACAGAGAUGAGCAGAGUGAGGUCAGGAAUGAUAAUUCUCAGCGUGGUUUCCAGAGCACGGCUCUGCAGAGAUAUACGACACAGUAAAAAUCUAGAACAGUGUUUUGUUUUCGUUAUUUAUUUUUAAUUUUAAAUGAUCUGAUGGCAUAAGAUGAAUCCUUACCCUCUUAUCCUGAUCUGCUAUUUCAUUCCCUGCCAAGCACCCAUUUCAUCAUAUAUGCUCACCUGGAACAUUCAAGCCUGCUGCCACAGUUAGAAAGAUUCCUUUCUCAGCUGGUGCCAAAGGGAUCUCAAAAUGGUUUUGAAUGCCUGUUAGAUUAACACCCCCCCCCCCUUUUUGGGUCCUCUUCUCUAUUCAUUCACUAAUAUGGGGAUUUGGAAUUUGAAGACAAUGUACUGCAUUAGGGCUACUGCAAUCUAUUUUUCAUUUUCAAAAUAGUGCAUCUUGCUUUCCCCCUUAUAGUAUUUCAUUGUUUGCUUGGUUUCACAGAUCUGUUUUGGUAAGAAAGUUUUGAGAAUAUCCUGGGAUUAUAGUCUUUGAAUGAACUUUCAUGCCCAUAGUAUAAGCCCCUUUGGUUUAAAACUAUCCCACUUAAAAGCAUCUACUUAUAACUACCAGCUGCUGGUUCUUUUCUGUUCCUACUCAUGAAUGCACACACAGACACAUACAGAUAUAUGUGCAUGCCUGGUUGCACGCGCACACACACACGCACACCCUCACAUGCACUGUUUAUAUGUAAACAUCCAGAAGAAACAAUGCAUUGUAAAAAUUGUCCUGUUGAGUUUGUAAUCGAGAGUGAGUUACUGAGUGCUGAUAAGUAAAGGAAGUGCAACCAGACAGUUUAAUCCUCCAAUUUCCUGUCUUCUAAUCAGCCCCUGACUCUUUUGGUUUUAAAUUAGAAACAUUCCUGUCAAUAUUCAGUACAGGUGAAGGAAAAUCAACUAGAAAAUAAGUAAGGACAAAGCAUUUAUUUCACUGUCUAAAGUUCACAGGGGAAAUAUGAGUGUAACAACAGGAAAUCAAGAUUUUAAAAAAGAUAGUAGAAGUACAUAGGCUUGCUUAAGUAACCAAUCACAAUUCUGAAUGAAGUACAUUUGGAUCAUAAUUUGAUUUAAAGAAAAAAGUAGGAACAUAGUUCAAUGUAUUUACUUCUCCCUAAAAAUAGUAAAUGGUACUUUAAAAGAUGUUGUACAAGGCUAACCUAAAAGAAAAUGAUAAGGAUAACUUCUUAAUAUAUGUGAGAGAGAAAAAAAACCCUACCCCAUUCAGAUUUUGCUUGCAAUCUGCUUAUACUGUGAGAAAAUAAUAUUGGAGUGUACAGAAAUCUUGUAAGUUAAUGCAUAUUCUUAGAUAUGAAUAUACUUACAUAUAUUUAUAAUGGUCGAUAAAAAUAAAAUUGUGCAUUUAGAAAUAAGCUCAGGUGGAGCCACUGUACUGCAAAUAUCUGCAAAAUAUCUGUGAAAAUACUUAAAAAUAGAGUUUGCAAAUGCAUUAAAUAGAAAGUGUAUAAAUAUGUUUACCAUGGACUCUUUAAAAAUAUGCUGAGUGCUGAGAAUAUGAUAUGCUUUAUAAUUUAUUGAAUCUCCUAAUUUUGAGUCUUUUUAUUUAUAGACUUUGUAGCAAUUUCCUAGUUUAUCAUAAAGGCAUAAGUGCAAAUUUAUAGACAAAUCUCCAUUAUGCAAUAUCUUCAAAGAAUUACAACAAACAAUCAUUAAGAAGAGUUGUUCAGCGGAGAAUAUUGAAAACUGAAAUGGUAAAUACAACAUAAUAUGUGAAUCCAACACAUCUUAACAACAACAAAAGAUUUCCAUGAAAUAUGAGUUCUUAAUUUUGUGUCUGCAGUAGUUAAAGCUGCCAAUCAUUUGGGAAGUAGGCUGGAGUUGAGUUUUUUUUUUUUUUUUUUGAAUUGUUGAACAUAGUAAGGCAGUAUUUCAUAGAAAUAUCUUGCUAUUUUUUACAUAUAUACUUUUAAAAGUAGGCAUUUAUACUACAAGGCACAGCAUAUUCUUUUUGCCCAAGUGUUUUCCUGGUAUGCAAAGUUUGAGUUGUACAAGUUUGAGUAAGUGACAGACAGUUCUUGAUUUUAAAAGUGUGUGUCAAAUUUUUUAAAGAAUGCUCCCAAAAUAAGUGCUUCAGGACCUAGCAUUGGGUGAGGGGGCUGUAGGAUAAUUUAGUUGCCUUCAUUUCACAGUCACUAUGAGUUUUUAAAUUGGAGGGCAGAAGCAAGACAAGUGCAUUUUGUAAUUCACAUAAAAAUAGUUCCAUAACACAUUGUUAUCAUUACGAAGAGGAGAAUGUUCAUUCUGCCUUCACUUUAUGCCAUAUGGGUAGAAUGGAGAUAAUUCUGCUGGACAGAAUUAUAUUUUGAAGCAAAUACAUGCUUGUAGGGUGCCUCCAUUUCAUUUGGAGCUGAGGAAAAUUUCAUGAGGGUUUUCUUUAGUUUUCUAUGGGAGAGUUUCUACCAGCGAUGUCACAACACAGCUAGAUUAAGUUGAUACGUAAUAUCUAUUUCUUGAUUUGCAUGAUUAAAGCAUUAGAGAAGUGGCUCAGAUAUCAAAAGGUUUCCCAUAAGUGGCAGCGCCAAAGGUAAUUACUGUUAAAAUGUACAUGCUCGAAACCUGGUUGCUUGUUAACUUCUAAGUUGUUUACAACUCUGUGGGUUUGAAUAAACGUUUUUAUUUGACUUUUCAAUAGCAAGACCCCUUUCUUGCUCCAUUUUGAUAUAAAAAAUGAUACCAUUCUUAUAUCCCAUGUCCCUCAAGGCAACCUUAGCUUCAACCAAAAAAAGUGAUAGAGGACAGAGAUGGCCCUUCUCAGUAUUUCAUAUUUUAAAAUAACUGUUUCUUAAACAAAAGUAGUCUUUUAAAGACAAAGUUAAAAUUUAUACCUAAAAAAAUUAAAAAUUAAUUGAGUCAACCAAUUAUUUCCAGUUAGUUAUCAAAAAGUGUAGCUAAAGCCCUACUGUAAGCCUGAGGGAGUUAUGAGGGGGGUGGGGAUAGAGAGGAAAAGAGAGAGGGAAGGAGAAGAGAGGUUGUUAUUCUCAGUCUUUUAUUAACCAGUUUCUUUCAUCCUAGUGUGUCUUUAUUAUUUAGAAAAAUAAAAAACAUCCAGAGCUCUACCCAUUCCCACCUAAAAUUCUGGAGUAGGUAGUGACUGUCUACAACCUGGUACAACAUAUGCCCCCAAACUAAAACAAACAAACUCAUUUGCCAUACAAAUUGUUUACGAUUCAUUAAAAAGCAAAAUUGCAUAUCCCGUCGCUGGCAGCUGAGGCCGUGUCUCCACGGGCGGAGGGGGCAUUCACUGAGUUGCCUUUGUAUGCUGGGAGGACCAAGCCGGAGGUUCCCACUAUGAGCCCGGAGUCUGUGCAGCCAGAUGACGCAUGAGCACUUUGAAUAUAUUCUCCUAUUUCCUGCUGGCCUGCAAGGUUUCUGCUGAGAAACCCAUUGAUAUUCUUAUGAAGAAUCCUUUUCAUGUGCCUCUGCCUCUGAAUGCGAAGGAAAACUGGACCAGCUCAGUGUGAAGCCUGUUGUCCCUCUCUCUUCAUGCUGAAGACUUAGUCAUAAUUCAAGGCCAAGCUCAAAUGCCCUCAUUUCCAUGAAGACUUCAUAGAUCCACCAAAAUUACAAUGAAACCCAUCCUGCUCAUGUGGACCCUUAACGCUGCACAUUUGCUUCUGAAAUGAGCUGAACCUGGGGGGUGGAUGUACUGUCUUCUCCCCUAGAAAUGGAAGUCCUGAAGUCAGGUAAAAAAUUUAUUAUAGUGAUAAAAAGAAGAUGUUGUACGAUAAAGGAUGUCAUCUUUCAAGAGUCAUUAUGACAAAUUAUUAACACUACAGUCACUGUGUGAGGUAAGUUUGCAACUCCUCUAAGGUUGCAUAGCUUUUAAGUGGCAGAGCCUGGAUUUGAACGAUGUUUAGUCUGAGCUGUUAACCAUGCCGCAUAACAUUGCCUCUACUGCCCAGUAGGGGGCACUCAUUAGCUUGCCCUUCAUUUGCCAAGUACCCUUGUGACCUUAGGCAAAUUAUUAAAUUUUCUUAAUUUUAUGUUUUGAAAGCUGUAAAUGUGUAGAUUGGACUUGAGUAGCUUAGGUCAGGGGUCAGCAAACUUUUCUAUAAAAAACCCGGUAGUAAAUAUUUUAGGCUUUGCAGACUAUGUGAUCUCUGUAACAACCAAAGCAGUCAUAGAAAAUAGUAAACAAAUGAGCAUGUCUGUAUUCAAUAAAACUUUGCUGACCAGGUGCAGUGGCUCACGCCUGUAAUCCUAGCACUUUAGG